Long non-coding RNA from Equus caballus (horse), 11196 nucleotides. The record is from Ensembl. NCBI's taxonomy places the organism in Eukaryota, Metazoa, Chordata, Mammalia, Perissodactyla, Equidae.
ACAAUGACUUAUUGAUUAUUUUGAUUUAAAGUUACUUGUGGAGCAAAAAGGGCUUUCUGUGCCUACUGUCUCUUCUCCUGAAAGCAGGAAAUGAAUCUCCCAUGAGAAAGGUGUUCUCCCUGCAUCCUUAUCACCAGAGCUAGGGGAUUGAGGGCCGAGAAGCCUGCAUAAACAAACCUUACUAAUUUACUGUUUCAUGCUAAAUUCCCCACUAUUUACAUGCUCCACACCUAAGUUUCUUUGCUCUGUCGAUUUUCAACAAUUUUAUGUUUCUUGGUGUAAAAGAUAUAUAUACUGCCUGUUUUGUUCACUCUCUGAGCAACGUUUCUUUAUGGUCUCCAAAAGGUAUGCAUUAAACUGGAUUUUUCUUCUGUUAACCUGGUCUUAUGUCAGUUUUACUAUUAAUCUGGCCAUAGGAACCUAAGAAGGGAAGAAAAGGGAUUUUCCCUGUCCUGACACUAUGUCAUAUCUUAAGGCGCUCCAGAUAUCCAUGGGGAAACUCCAAAAGUUGGCUAUAGUUCCUGAUGACAUAAAAGAGGUAUCAGGAAAAGGAGAGACCAAAAGAUUUCUGGAGCCCUUGACCUGUGAAAUAGGAUCUCAACAAGAGGCAUUCUUUUCUGUAUGUACCAGACUGUCCUGUUCCCCCUCUAGAGAGGGACAUGCUAUCUAAGUUAGGGGUCCUAAUAUGCUGGAACAAGAUAGAGGUCCAAGCCCCUAAAAGUUGGGGAAUUGAGCUCAUGGCCUUAUUGGAAGAUACACCAGUGCCUGAUAGAGAAGAGGUUCCCCUAUCAUUGGCCCUGGUGAAACAGUACCCCUUGAAGCCAGAAGACAUAAGAGGACUCCCUCCCUUUAAUCAAUACACUUUUAGAACAGGGAUUGAUCAGGAGAUUCCCAUGGAACACACCCAUUUCAGCCAUUAAAAGGCUGGAAACAAGGGAAUAUAGAUUUGUUGAAGGCAUUAUGGCUGUCAAUGCUAUACAGUGCCAGAUUCAAAAGAUGCUUUUGGAUCCUCAACCCCUCCCACCACCAAGUGAUGUCUGGUCACCAUUCCUUGCCUUCAGCAGGGAAUUCUGAGGUUGGUGUGAUAUUGUGAUUUAUAGUAAAAAAAAAAAAAUACCCUCAUUUCAUUUCUGGCACAGAGCUCCUAAAACCCUUGUAAUUUCUGAUAUAAGAGCCAUGGGGCAUCUUUUGUUAUAACAAUUACUUUUGUCCUCAGUUCCUGAAAUAACUGCAGGUUAAUAAUGGUAACAUUGGUGUCUUUUGUUAUCCAGAAGAAGUCCCUGUCAACCACACCUGAACUUAUGUAAAUAAGAUGACUUUUGGAAAGCCCUUAAGGGUGGGGGCUGUUAGCCAGGGGAACCAAUUGUGUGAUUAGAGGGUUGGAAAUUUCAGCCCCAUGCCCCUCCUUAUACCUCUGAGGUGGGGAGAGGGGCUCAGGAUUGAGUUCAAUAUGGAGUUCAGGGAGCUUCUGAGUUGCAAACAUGGGAGACUCAGGGAGACUGGCACACUCAGAGAGAGCUUGGGAACUCCACAUCCCUCUCUCACAUAUCGUGCUCGAUGCAUCUCUUUGGUCUGGCUGUUAAGUAAAAUGUUUUCCUGAGUUCUGUGAGCUGCUCUAUAAAAAUAGUUUAAUGAAAUCCAAAGGAGGGUGUUCAUGGAAACCUCUGGUCUGUGGCAGUUUGGUCAGAAGGAUGGGUGACAACCUGGACUUGCAAUCGGCAUCUAAAAUGGAAGGCAAGGGGUAAUCUUGUAGGAUCUGAUGCUAUCUCUAGGUAGAUAGUGUCACAAAUAGUGACAAAUACUGUUAAAUACUUAGGUUUUGAACUGUCAGAAGCCCAGAGAAUCCUGCUCCCAGACAGGAGAGAAGCAAUCACUUGAGUUGGAACUCCUACUACCCAUCAAUAAUUGUGGGGAUGUUUUUUAGGAAUGUCAGGCUUCUGUCAAAUUUGGAUAGUCAGCUUUAGAUUAAUGUUGAAAUCUCUAUUUGAGGACUUAAUGGGAGGAGACCUCGAACCUUUGAUGUGGACAUGAGAGUGCCGGAAUUUGUUUGUCAGGGAAGUGGGAGAAUUCCCCCUGACUUUUACUUAGGGUUCUUACGGCUGGUAAAAUAACUAAAAAGGAAGGUGAGCAGGAGAAAAAUCAAACAAAGUUUAAUAGCAUGUAUACAUGGGAGAAACCCAGGAGAAACUGAGUAACUCAGCCAACUGAGUUAAAGAGGCUGAGGCUGCCUGUUUAAAUAUCUUAAGCUACAGAUAAGGACGAUAUUUGGGGUAGUGAUUUGGGGCUUCAAAGGAGAGGAAGACAACUCACAUGGAAAUGGAAAAGUAAAUGGUAAAUAAGACUUUGAUAACAGUGGGCCUAGCAAGGAUCUUUCCAGUCUACCAAAACCCAGAGCUAACUAUGGUGAUGGACAGGCCUUCAUUUUAAAUUUCUUUUAGGCAGUUGGGGGGAAAUGUCGAAUGUUCUUCCUGAGUUUGAGCCUUUAUUGUCUUCAGAUUGAAAUAAUCCUCAUACCAGAAUGACACAUCUUGGGACGGCCUGCCCUGAACCCCAUCAAGUACAAUCAAGUUAAAGAAAAAUUAUUUAACUGCCCCAGCCUUGGGACUCCCAGAUUUGAGAAAGCCCUUUGAUUUCUUUGUAAAGGAAAAACAGGGCCUCUGUCUGUGACUCCUGACUCAGAACCUUGGACUCACCAGGAGGCCUGUGGCCUAUUUUACUAAGCAGUCAGAUCAGAUGGUCAAAGGAUAGCUGUCUUGCCUCUGAGCCAUUGCCACCAUCUGUAACAUAGUACAAGAAGCUGAAAAAUUCACAUUGGCACAGGCCACAAUGGCGCACACUCCCCAUUGUGUCCUCCCUCUAUGAGUCCUCUAAGAAAAGAACAGAAUGGAGGAUCUUGGCUAACCUCAGGAUCAGCCUACUUUAUGAGACAACCCAGAAGUAAAGUUAAAUGCUAUUUCUACCUUAAAACCUGCAACACUUCUACCUACUGAGUCAACAAGACCCCUUUCAUGAUGAGUGACUUCAGAUCAUUGAACAGGUAUUCUAGAGUUGACCUGAUUUGACUGUCCAACUGUUGGAGCAGUUGGACUUGGGACUGUUCACUGAUGGAAGCAGCUUCUUGGAUGAGGGCAACAUCAAGCAGGGCAUGUAGUUGUCACCCUUCAGGACACCAUGGAAGCAAAGGCUUUGCCUCCAGGUGUUUCAUCUCAGGAGGCUGAGCUAAUAGCCCUAAAUAAAGUUCUUCAAAUAGGUAAAGACACAAGAGCACAGACUCAAAAUAUGCCUUUUUAGUGGUCCAUGCCCCUGGGGCCAUAUGGAAAGAGAGGGGUCUCUUGACUGUUGGAAAGAGGGACAUAAAAUAUUCCCAGGAAAUAUUGACCUUAUUAGAGGCUAUUAAUGACCCAUGGCAGUAGCCAUCAUGUACUGCCCUCCACAUCAGAAAGGGGACACUUUGGAAGCCCGACGUAAUCAACUGGCUGAUCAGGCAGUGAAGACUGCUGUUAGCACUAUGAGUUUCAGGGCACUCUUGGGUCCCUUAGUUCCCCAAAUUGACAUUGCUAAAUUCCAGCAUAGCUACACACAGAAAGAUUUAGAGAGAGCCAGAGCAUGGAGAUUUGACUCCUCAUCUGUGGAGUAUCCAGGAUAUAAAUGUAAGUCAGAAAGACUCAUCUUGGUAUCUGAAGCCCUUCUGGGAGAAAGUGUGAAUCAAAUGCAUCAGAGCACUCACUAUGGAAAGGAGGCCACCUUGCAGUGGAUCAAGGAGGUGGUUUGUUCUAACUUGCAAAGAAACAUUCAGAAAGUUACUAAAAAUGUGUGAUCUGUGCCAAAAACAAUCCCAGGACAGGGCUGCUCUCCUUGAAUAAUGGGGUUCAACAUUCACGAGUUUUCCCCUGUGAGGACUUGCAACUGGAAUUUAACAUGAUGCCUUGAGCCUCUAGGAAAGCCAAGUAACUAGAGUACUCAUAGACACCUUCACAGUGUGGGUUGAAGUAUUCCCGUCCAAAACAGGGAGGGACACCAAAGUGACCAAGGAUUCCCAAAAGGAGAUCAUUCCAGGGACAAAAUUCCACUGUCAAUCCAGAACGACAACAGCACUGAAUUUAUCUAAAUCAUUCUGGCAUGGACCACUGUGCUUAAGGGGAAGAUGGAGGCAUUUGGAGUGAGCAGGGUUGGAAAGACGCAAAUGUGGCAGAAGGAGAAGUUCUACAGGGGUGAGAUGAGGGAUGGAAAGAAAUGGCAUUACAGCCGCCUUUGUAGGAGACGUUCCCGGUCAGCUGUAAGAGCAUGGUGCAAAGCGAGUUCUUUCUCAGCUUGACAAAGAGCUGCAAGCAAGAUGGUUUGUGGCCUGUCUCCCUUUCAGGAAUCAAGGCAGUGCUUUGUGCCUUCCAUCUCUAGAGCACUGUCCGAGACAGCUGAGAGUAGAAGCUCUAAUUCAGCAAGAUCAGGGCUAGAAAGAAACUGCGUCUCACAGGCCUUUGUAAGAGAUGUUCCCAGGAGGCUGUAAGAGCACUGUGGAGAUUGAGUUGUUUAUCAGCUUACCAAAGAGCUGGAAGCAAGACCAUUUGUGGCUUGUCUUCCUUUGAGGGACUGAGUCAGUGCUUUGUGACUUCCACCUCUAGGGCAAUGGAGGACAUGGCUUUGAGCAGAAGUUCUACGGUGGUGAGAUCAGGGCUGGAAAUAAACUGCGUUUCAGGCCUUUGUAUGACGGGUUCCCGGUAGGCUGUAAGAGCACUGUGGAAAGCGAGUUCUUUCUCAGCUUGCCAAAGAGCUGGAAGCAAGACGGCUUGUGGCCUGUCUCCCCUUGAGGAAACAAGGCAGGACUUUGUGCCUUGCAUGCCUACAGCAAUGUAGGACACGGCAAAGCAGAGGUUCUACUUCAGCGACAUCAGGUCUGGAAAGAAACUGCGUUCCACAGGCCUUUGUAAGAGAUGUUACCGGGAGGCUGUAAGAGCCCUGUGGAGAGCGAGUUGUUUCUUACCUUCCGAAAGACCUGGAAGAAAGACCAUUUGAGGCUUGUUUCCCUUUGAGGCACUGAUUCAGUUCUUUGUUCCUUCCACCUGUAGGGCAAUGGAGGACAUGGCUCAGAGCAGAAGUUCUAAGAAUGCUAGAUCAGGGCUGGAAACUAACUGCCUUUCAGGCCUUUGUAUGACAGGUGCCCUGCAGGCAUUAAGAGCACUGUGGAAAGCAAUUUCUUUCUCGGCUUGCCAAAGAGAUGGAAGCAAGAUGGUUUGUGGCCGCUCUCCCUUUGGAGAAAAGAGGCAGUUCCUUUUCCCUUCCACCCCUAGGAAAGUGCAUGACACGGCAGAGGAGAAGUUCUAAUUCAGUGAGAUCAGGGCUGGAAAGAAACUGCAUUUCACAGACAUUUGUAAGACAUGUUCCCAGGACGCUGUAAGAGCACUGUGGAGAGCGAGCUGUUUCUUAGCUUCCCAAAGAGCUGGAAGUAAGAUCAUUUGUGGCUUGUCUCCUUUUGAGGCACUCACUCAGUGGUUUGUGCCUUGCACCUCUAGAGCAAUGGAGGACAUGGCUUAGAGCAGAAGCUCUAAGGCGACGAGAUCAGGGCUGGAAACAAACUGCAUUUCAGGCCUUUAUAUGACAGGUUCCUGGUAGUCUGUAAGAGCACUGAGGAAAGCGAGUUCUUUCUCGGCUUGCCAAAGAGCUGGAAGCAAGACGGUUUGGGUCCUGUCUCCCCUUGAGGAGACAAGGCAGGACUUUGUCCCUUGCAGCUCUAGGGCCAUGUAGGACACAGCAGAGCAGAAGUUCUACUACAGCGAGAUCAGGCCUGGGAAGAAACUGCAUUUCACAGCCCUUUGUAAGAGAUGUUCCCGGUAGGCUGUAAGAGCACUGCGGAGAGCGAGUUGUUUCUUAGCUGCCCAGAGAGCUGGAACCGGCACGCUGAGGGACUUGUCCCCCAUUGUGGAAACAAGGCAGGACUUUCUGCCUUGCAGCUCUUGGGCCAUGUAGGACACGGCAGAGCAGAAGUUCUACUUCAGUGAGAUCAGGCCUGGGAAGAAAUUGCGUCUCACAGGCCUUUGUAAGACACGUUCCCGGUAGGCUUUAAGAGCCCUGUGCAGAGCGAGUUGUUUCUUAGACUGCAAAAGAGCUGGAAGCCGGACGCUGUGGGGCCUGUCUGCCCUUGAAGACACAGCAGAGGACUUUGUCCCUUUCAGCUCUGGCCCAUGUAGGACACGGCAGAGCAGAAGUUCUACUUCAGUGAGAUCAGGCCUGGGAAGAAAUUGCGUCUCACAGGCCUUUGUAAGACACGUUCCCGGUAGGCUUUAAGAGCCCUGUGCAGAGCGAGUUGUUUGUUAGACUGCAAAAGAGCUGGAAGCCGGACGCUGUGGGGCCUGUCUGCCCUUGAGGACACAAGACAGGACUUUGUCCCUUUUAGCUCUAGGCCCAUGUAGGACACGGCAGAGCAGAAGUUCUACUUCACCGAGAUCAGGCCUGGGAAGAAACUGCGUUUCACAGGCCUUUGUAGGACAUGUUCCCAGUAGGCUGUAAAACACCAGUGCAGAGCGAGCAGUUUCUUAGCUGCCCAAAGAGAUGGAAGCCUGACGCUGUGGGGCCUCUCUGCCCUUGAGGACACAAGGCUGGACUUUCUCCCUUUGAGGUCUAGGGGCAUGUAGGACACGGCAGAGCUGAACUUCUACUUCAGCGAGAUCAGGCCUGGUAAGAAACUGCGUUUCACAGGCCUUUGUAAGACAUGUUCCUGGUAGGCUUGUAUGCCCGAUGCAGAGCGAGUUGUUUCUUAGUUGCCCAAAAGCUGGAAGGGGGACACUGUGCUGCCGGCCUGCCCCUGAGGAGAGAAGGCAGGAGUUUGUCCCUUUCAGCUCUAGGCCCAUGUAGGACAUGGCAGAGCAGAAGUUCUAAUUCAGCGAGAUCUAGCCUGGGAAGAGACUGCGUUUCAGAUGCCUUUGUAAGACAUGUUCCCUGUAGGCUGUAAAACACCAGUGCAGAGCCAGCUGUUUCUCAGCUGCCCAAAGAGCUGGAAGCCGGACACUCUGCUGCCCGUCUGCCCUUGAGGAGACAAGGCAGGACUUUGUCCCUUGCAGCUCUAUGGCCAUGUAGGACACGGCAGAUCAGAAGUCCUACAUCAGGGAGAGCAGGCCUGGGAAGAAACAGCAUAACACAGGCCUUUGUACGAUAUGUUCCUGGUAGGCUUGUAGGAGCCCUGUGCAGAGCGAGUUGUUUCUUAGCAGCCCAAAGAGCUGUAAUCUGGACGCUGAGGGACUUGUCUCCCCUUGUGGAAACAAAGCAGGACUUUGUGAAUUGCGGCUCUAGGGUCAUGAAGGACACGGCAGAGCAGAAGUCCUACAUCAGGGAGAGCAGGCCUGGGAAGAAACAGCAUAACCCAGGUCUUUGUACGAUAUGUUCCCGGUUGGCUUGUAGGAGCCCUGUGCAGAGCGAGCUGUUUCUUAGCAGCCCAAAGAGCUGGAAUCCGGACGCUGAGGGACUUGUCUCCCCUUGUGGAAACAAAGCAGGACUUUGUGAAUUGCGGCUCUAGGGUCAUAAAGGACACGGCAGAGCAGAAGUUCUACUUCAGCGAGAUCAGGCCUGGGAAGCAACUGCGUUUCACAGGCCUUUGUAAGACAUGUUCCCGGUAGGCUUUAAGAGCCCUGUGCAGAGCGAGUUGUUUCUUAGCCUGCCAAAGAGCUGGAAGCCGGACGCUGUGGGACCAGUCUGCCCUUGAGGACACAAGACAGGACUUUGUCCCUUUCUGCUCUAGGCACAUGCAGGACACGGCAGAGCAGAAGUUCUACUUCAGCGAGAUCAGGUCUGGGAAGAAACUGCGUUUCAGGGGCCUUUGUAAGCCAUGUUCCCGGUAGGCUGUAAAACACCAGUGCAGAGCGAGCUGAUUCUUAGCUGCUCAAAGAGCUGGAAGCCGGACGGUGUGGGACCUGUCUGCCCUUGAAGACACAACAGAGGACUUUGUCCCUUUCAGCUCCAGGCCCAUCUAGGACACGGCAGAGCAGAAGUUCUACCUCACUGAGAUCAGGCCUGGGAAGAAACUGCGUUUCACUUGCCUUUGUAGGACAUCUUCCCGGUAGGCUGUAAAGCACCAGUGCAGAGCGAGCUGUUUCUUAGCUGCACAAAGAGAUGGAAGCUGGACGCUGUGGGGCCUGUCUGCUCUUGAAGACACAACACAGGACUUUGUCCCUUACAGCUCUAGGCCCAUGUAGGACACGGCAGAGCAGAAGUUCUACUUCAGCGAGAUCAGGCCUGUGAAGAAACUGCGUUUCACAGGCCUUUGGAACAUGUUCCCGGUAGGCUGUAAAACACCACUGCAGAGCGAUUUGUUUCUUAGCUGCCCAAAGAGCUGGAAGCCGGACACUCUGCUGCCCGUCUGCCCUUGAGAAGACAAGGCAGGACUUUGUCCCUUGCAGCUCUAUGGCCAUGUAAGACACGGCAGAGCAGAACUCCUACAUCAGGGAGAGCAGGCCUGGGAAGAUACAUCAUAACACAGGGCUUUGUACGAUAUGUUCCCGGUAGGCUUGUAGGAGCCCUGUGCAGAGCGAGUUGUUUCUUAGCAGCCCAAAGACAUGGAAUCUGGACGCUGAGGGACUUGUCUCCCCUUGUGGAAACAAAGCCGGACUUUGCGAAUUGCAGAUCUAGGGUCAUGUAGGACACGGCAGAGCAGAAGUUCUACUUCAGCGAGAUCAGGCCUGGGAAGAAACUGCGUUUCACAGGCCUUUGUAAGACAUGUUCCCGGUAGGCUGUAAAACACCAGUGCAGAGCGAGCUGUUUCUCAGCUGCCCAAAGAGCUGGAAGCCGGACGCUGUGGGGCCUGUCUGCCCUUGAAGACACAGCAGAGGACUUUGUCACUUUCAGCUCUAGGCCCAUGUAGGACACGGCAGAGCAGGAGUUCUACUUCAGCGAGAGCCUGCCUGAGAUGAAACUGCGUUUCAUAGGCCUUUGUAAGACAUGCUCCCGGUAGGCUUGUGAAAGCCCUGUGCAGAGUGAGCUGUUUCUUAGCUUCCCAAAGAGCUGGAAGCCGGACGCUGUGGGACCAGUCUGCCCUUGAGGACACAGACAGGACUUUGUCCCAUCAGCUCUAGGCCCAUGCAGGACACGGCAGAGCAGAAGUUCUACUUCAGCGAGAUCAGGUCUGGGAAGAAACUGCGUUUCACAGGCCUUUGUAAGACAUGUUCCCAGUAGGCUUUAAGAGCCCUGUGCAGAGCGAGUUGUUUCUUAGCCUGCCAAAGAGCUGGAAACCGGACGCUGUGGGACCAGUCUGGCCUUGAGGACACAAGACAGGACUUUGUCCCUUUCAGCUCUAGGCCCAUGCAGGACACGGCAGAGCAGAAGUUCUACCUCACUGAGAUCAGGCCUGGGAAGAAACUGCGUUUCACUUGCCUUUGUAGGACAUCUUCCCGGUAGGCUGUAAAGCACCAGUGCAGAGCGAGCUGUUUCUUAGCUGCACAAAGAGAUGGAAGCUGGACGCUGUGGGGCCUGUCUGCUCUUGAAGACACAACACAGGACUUUGUCCCUUUCAGCUCUAGGCCCACGUAGGACACGGCAGAGCAGAAGUUCUACUUCACCGAGAUCAGGCUGGGAAGAAACUGCGUUUCAGAUGCCUUUGUAAGACAUGUUCCAGGUAGGCUUGUAGGAGCCCGAUGCAGAGCGAGUUGUUUCUUUGUUGCCCAAAAGCUGGAAGGCGGACACUGUGCUGCCGCCCUGCCCCUGAGGAGAGAAGGCGGGAGUUUGUCCCUUUCAGCUCUAGGCCCAUGUAGGACACGGCAGAGGAGAAGUUCUAAUUGAACGAGGUCUGGACUGGGCACAAACUGCGUUUCAGAUGCCUUUGUAAGACAUGUUCCCUGUAGGCUGUAAAACACCAGUGCAGAGCGAGCUGUUUCUCAGCUUCCCAAAGAGCUGGAAGCUGGACGCUGUGGGACCUGUCUGCCCUUGAGGACAAAAGGCAGAACUUUGUCCCUUUCAGCUCUAGGCCCAUGUAGAACACGGCAGAGCAGAAGUUCUACUUCAGCGAGAUCAGGCCUGGGAAGAAACUGCGUUUCACAGGCCUUUGUAAGACAUGUUCCCGGUAGGCUUUAAGAGCGCUGUGCAGAACGAGUUGUUUCUUAGCUGCCCAAAGAGCUGGAAGCUGGACGCUGAGGGACUUGCCUCUCCUUGUGGAAACAAGGCAGGAUUUUGUGAAUUGCAGCUCUAGGGUCAAAUAGGACACGGCAGAGCAGAAGUUCUACUUCAGCGAGAUCAGGCCUGGGAAGAAACUGCGUCUCACAGGCCUUUGUAAGACAUGUUCCCGGUAGGCUUUAAGAGCCCUGUGCAGAGCGAGUUGUUUCUUAGACUGCAAAAGAGCUGGAAGCCUGACGCUUUGGGGCCUCUCUGCCCUUGAGGACACAAGACAGGACUUUGUCCCUUUUAGCUCUAGGCCCAUGUAGGACACGGCAGAGCAGAAGUUCUACUUCAGCGAGAGCAGGCCUGAGAUGAAACUGCGUUUCAUAGGCCUUUGUAAGACAUGCUCCCGGUAGGCUUGUAAAAGCCCUGUGCAGAGUGAGCUGUUUCUUAGCUUCCCAAAGAGCUGGAAGCCGGACGCUGUGGGACCUGUCUGCCCUUGAGGACAAAAGGCAGAACUUUGUCCCUUUCAGCUCUAGGCCCAUGUAGAACACGGCAGAGCAGAAGUUCUACUUCAGCGAGAUCAGGCCUGGGAAGAAACUGCGUCUCACAGGCCUUUGUAAGACAUGUUCCCGGUAGGCUUUAAGAGCCCUGUGCAGAGCGAGUUGUUUCUUAGACUGCCAAAGAGCUGGAAGCCGGACGCUGUGGGACCAGUCUGCCCUUGAGGACACAAGACAGGACUUUGUCCCUUUCAGCUCUAGGCCCAUGCAGGACACGGCAGAGCAGAAGUUCUACUUCAGCGAGAUCAGGUCUGGGAAGAAACUGCGUUUCACAGGCCUUUGUAAGACAUGUUCCCGGUAGGCUGUAAAACACCAGUGCAGAGCAAGCUGUUUCUCAGCUGCCCAAAGAGCUGGAAGCCGGACGCUGUGGGGCCUGUCUGCCCUUGAGGACACAAGACAGGACUUUGUCCCUUUUAGCUCUAGGCCCAUGUAGGACACGGCAGAGCAGAAGUUCUACUUCAGCGAGAGCAGGCCUGAGAUGAAACUGCGUUUCAUAGGCCUUUGUAAGACAUGCUCCCGGUAGGCUUGUAAAAGCCCUGUGCAGAGUGAGCUGUUUCUUAGCUUC